AUGACCCAAUUACUUCAAAGUUAUGUACAGGCUGACUGGGCUCUCUACUGGGAUAUCUGGUCUUUGAGGGAUAACAAACUUUGCUAGCUAAACGCGGAUAUCUGGUGUUUUUUUUUUCCCUGUAGAAUCCGUUCAAUGAUGUAUUGACUGCCGGAUUCGCCGACGAUUCUAGUUCCUACCGAUGCCAUUCUUGUUGCACUCUGCUCAGGAUCGCCUGUCGAAGUUUGUUGCAUAUCCAUAUUAGUAUGAACAGGUCUCGAGAAGGUGAUAGGGCAAAGAAGGUUUCGGAAUAAGAGCCCUGAAUACACGGAGCAUCCAGUACGCCUUGUGCCAGAAAGUCUCGGAUGUAAUGGAACUGAGGAAAAUGCAACUCUAGACAUGGC
Molecule: small RNA, 383 nt
Filed under: Histoplasma ohiense
Lineage: Eukaryota; Fungi; Ascomycota; Eurotiomycetes; Onygenales; Ajellomycetaceae
Description: hypothetical lncRNA
Source: RNAcentral